AUUGAACGCUGGCGGCAGGCUUAACACAUGCAAGUCGAGCGAGCGGCGGACGGGUGAGUAAUGUCUGGGAAACUGCCUGAUGGAGGGGGAUAACUACUGGAAACGGUAGCUAAUACCGCAUACCAUCAGAUGUGCCCAGAUGGGAUUAGCUAGGAGGUGGGGUAAUGGUUCACCUAGGCGACGAUCCCUAGCUGGUCUGAGAGGAUGACCAGCAACACGGGUACUGAGACACGGUCCAAACUCCUACGGGAGGCAGCAUUGGGAAAUAUUGCACAAUGGGCGCAAGCCUGAUGCAGCCAUGCCGCGUGUGUGAAGAAGGCCUUCGGGUUGUAAAGCACUUUCAGCGAGGAGGCGUUACUCACAGAAUAAGCACCGGCUAACUCCGUGCCAGCCGCCGCGGUAAUUC
RNAcentral lists this ribosomal RNA (406 nucleotides) under uncultured bacterium. Its description in RNAcentral is "partial 16S ribosomal RNA". It matches the Rfam family "Bacterial small subunit ribosomal RNA", at positions 30 to 526 of the family's 1533-position model. The record is from RNAcentral.